GCCGGGCAUGGUGGUGCGUGCCUAUAAUCCCAGCUACUGGGGGGCUGAGGCAGGAGGAUCACUUGAACCCAGGAGGCGGAGGUUGCAGUGAGCUGAGAUCGUGCCACUGCACUCCAGCCUGGGCAACAAAGCGAGAUUCUGUCUCAA
Molecule: signal recognition particle RNA, 147 nt
Filed under: Pan troglodytes (chimpanzee)
Lineage: Eukaryota; Metazoa; Chordata; Mammalia; Primates; Hominidae
Description: Metazoan signal recognition particle RNA
Rfam family: Metazoan signal recognition particle RNA
About the family: The signal recognition particle (SRP) is a universally conserved ribonucleoprotein. It is involved in the co-translational targeting of proteins to membranes.
Source: Rfam by way of RNAcentral